RNAcentral lists this transfer RNA (66 nucleotides) under Nymphicus hollandicus (cockatiel). RNAcentral describes it as "tRNA-Thr". It matches the Rfam family "tRNA". Rfam says of the family: Transfer RNA (tRNA) molecules are approximately 80 nucleotides in length. Their secondary structure includes four short double-helical elements and three loops (D, anti-codon, and T loops). Further hydrogen bonds mediate the characteristic L-shaped molecular structure. tRNAs have two regions of fundamental functional importance: the anti-codon, which is responsible for specific mRNA codon recognition, and the 3' end, to which the tRNAs corresponding amino acid is attached (by aminoacyl-tRNA synthetases). tRNAs cope with the degeneracy of the genetic code in two manners: having more than one tRNA (with a specific anti-codon) for a particular amino acid; and 'wobble' base-pairing, i.e. permitting non-standard base-pairing at the 3rd anti-codon position. Lineage: Eukaryota; Metazoa; Chordata; Aves; Psittaciformes; Cacatuidae. The record is from RNAcentral.
ACUCUAAUAGUUUACAAAAACAUUGGUCUUGUAACCAAAGAACGAAGACCCACCCUUCUUAGAGUU